UGUAGUCUCGCACAGAUGCAUAUCAAUAAGCGGAGGAAAAGAAACUAACAAGGAUUCCCCUAGUAACGGCGAGUGAAGCGGGAAGAGCUCAAAUUUGAAAUCUUAAAGGGUUUCCCUUUACGAAUUGUAGUUUAAAGAAGUGUUUUCUGUUGAGGUUUUGGUAAAAGUUCUUUGGAAUAGGACAUCAUAGAGGGUGAGAAUCCCGUAUUUGACCUUUACUUUCAACUUUGUGAUACACUUUCAAAGAGUCGGAUUGUUUGGGAAUGCAGUCCAAAAUGGGUGGUAAAUUUCAUCUAAAGCUAAAUACUGGCGAGAGACCGAUAGCGAACAAGUACCGUGAGGGAAAGAUGAAAAGAACUUUGAAAAGAGAGUUAAACAGUACGUGAAAUUGUCAAAAGGGAAGCGUUUGACACCAGUGUUGUUUUUCUGAAAAUCAAUUAAAGAACUGUUUAUGCUAAGUUGUUUAGACUUUAUCAGCUAACUGUUUAGUUUUGAGCUUUUCUUUAAUGCACUUUUCAGUUAACAAGUCAACAUCAAUUUCUUUUGCUGUAAAAAAGCUUGAGGAAGGUGGCUUGAGAUUCGUCUUAAGUGUUUAUAGCCUCUUGCCCAUGCAGUCGGAGAGAUUGAGGUCUGCAGCGUAGAUCCUUCGGGGCUAAAUGCAUUUGUGCUAAGUUAUAGCAUUUUAUAGACAACUUGUUGACUAUGAUUUGUCUUGUAGCUUACUCGCUUAUGUUAUUUUACCUACGCUUAGGAUGUUGAUCUGUAGUGCGUGCGC
This 775-nucleotide ribosomal RNA is filed under the name uncultured Neocallimastigales. Its description in RNAcentral is "partial large subunit ribosomal RNA". It matches the Rfam family "Eukaryotic large subunit ribosomal RNA", at positions 24 to 646 of the family's 3401-position model. The record is from RNAcentral. Lineage: Eukaryota; Fungi; Neocallimastigomycota; Neocallimastigomycetes; Neocallimastigales.